GUGUUGGUGGUUCAGUAGUAGAAUUCUUGCCUUCCAGGCCGGAGACCCAGGUUUGAGUCCCAGCCAAUGCA
Molecule: transfer RNA, 71 nt
Filed under: Loxodonta africana (African savanna elephant)
Lineage: Eukaryota; Metazoa; Chordata; Mammalia; Proboscidea; Elephantidae
Rfam family: tRNA
About the family: Transfer RNA (tRNA) molecules are approximately 80 nucleotides in length. Their secondary structure includes four short double-helical elements and three loops (D, anti-codon, and T loops).
Source: Rfam by way of RNAcentral